UACGAAGGGGGCUAGCGUUGCUCGGAAUCACUGGGCGUAAAGCGCACGUAGGCGGAUUGUUAAGUCAGGGGUGAAAUCCUGGAGCUCAACUCCAGAACUGCCUUUGAUACUGAGGAUCUUGAGUUCGGGAGAGGUGAGUGGAACUGCGAGUGUAGAGGUGAAAUUCGUAGAUAUUCGCAAGAACACCAGUGGCGAAGGCGGCUCACUGGCCCGAUACUGACGCUGAGGCACGAAAGCGUGGGGAGCAAACAGG
RNAcentral lists this ribosomal RNA (253 nucleotides) under uncultured bacterium. Its description in RNAcentral is "partial 16S ribosomal RNA". It matches the Rfam family "Bacterial small subunit ribosomal RNA", at positions 524 to 776 of the family's 1533-position model. The record is from RNAcentral.